This 1050-nucleotide ribosomal RNA is filed under the name Triticum aestivum (bread wheat). RNAcentral's name for it is "partial small subunit ribosomal RNA". The record is from RNAcentral. Lineage: Eukaryota; Viridiplantae; Streptophyta; Magnoliopsida; Poales; Poaceae.
AUGUGGGCGCCACCGGUGUUUUCGUGCGCUUGCGCGCCGAGAGCAUAUUGGCGCGUGCUCGAAAUUCAUGCUACCUUUUCAUCCCCAAUCUCCCGCCCCUCCCCCAUCUCUGGAAUCUCGAUUCCUACUCCAGUUCCCCCAAAUCCCCCUCCUGUACUCCCAGUACUCAAGCACACUAUCAUGUCGCCGGUCAACGCGGAUCUCCGAGCCAGAGAUCCUGAGGUCCGUCUUGCCUUCGGUCGCUGUGUGCUGUCGCUCAACAGUGGCAUGGCAGCGCUUGACGACCAGUUUGCCGGCAAAGUGCUGAUGGUAACCAUCAACGGCGACCGGCCUCCCGUCUCGCCGGACGACCUUGUCAAAGCUCUUGGCAUUGCGCACGGCAUCCAAAUAAGUGACUUGCUCGUCGAAGUCUGUCCGCCACCGGCUGAUUUCUUCGUCAGGUUCCGGACAACUUUCGACUGCAGUCGUGUGUUCGAAUCUUCCCGGCGUUUGUUCUGCGAUGGCGCGCUGGUGAGCUUUGAUCGGUGGCACCCAGGAUGGGGCUCGGUGCCCUCUGAGCUUGAGUUUUUAACAAAGCUUACCUUCCACGGCAUGCUUCGACGUGCUUGGAACAGCGAGUCCAUGAACGAGCUUAUCAACGACCUUGGAGGUGAGCUCGUAAGUAUGUUUGUUCCUCCAGACAGCUGGGCUCUGACGGUUAUGGCAUGGAUGAAGAAGCCAUCCACCAUACCGAAGGUGAUUGGUGUUGAGAUACCGGUGCAGGAACCAGGGUUGUACUAUUCGUCGCCACCAAGGCCGCCGCGGACCACGUUAGGGAUGUACCUGUAUCGAGUGUUCGUGCAUGUCGAAGAAGUGGUCAAUCCAUCAAUCAAAGUCCUGCCGCCGCCGCUGGUGCCAGGGUCCGUCGACGACGUCCAUUACAGGAGUCAACGUCAGACUUUCCCCGUGUUUCUCGGAACGAUGGAUGGCACAGGGCCUACUCCAUCGCGCGGCGGAGGCCACUGCUUCUUUGGGAGAAGAGGCAGGGCUGGCUGCCUGGAUGUGCUCUAA